This 76-nucleotide transfer RNA is filed under the name candidate division WWE3 bacterium RIFCSPLOWO2_12_FULL_36_10. RNAcentral describes it as "tRNA-Ala". It matches the Rfam family "tRNA". From Rfam's summary of the family: Transfer RNA (tRNA) molecules are approximately 80 nucleotides in length. The record is from RNAcentral. Lineage: Bacteria; candidate division WWE3.
GGGCCCUUAGCUCAGUUGGUAGAGCGCGGCGUUUGCAUCGCUGAGGUCAGGAGUUCGAACCUCCUAGGGUCCACCA